This 513-nucleotide ribosomal RNA is filed under the name uncultured bacterium. Its description in RNAcentral is "partial 16S ribosomal RNA". It matches the Rfam family "Bacterial small subunit ribosomal RNA", at positions 30 to 523 of the family's 1533-position model. The record is from RNAcentral.
AUUGAACGCUGGCGGCGUGCCUAAUACAUGCAAGUCGAGCGAACAGAUAAGGAGCUUGCUCCUUUGACAUUAGCGGCGGACGGGUGAGUAACACGUGGAUAACCUACCUAUAAGACUGUGAUAACUUCGGGAAACCGGAGCUAAUACCGGCUAACAUAUUGAACCGCAUGGUUCAAUAGUGAAAGGCGGCUUUGCUGUCACUUAUAGAUGGAUCCGCGCCGUAUUAGCUAGUUGGUAAGGUAACGGCUUACCAAGGCAACGAUACGUAGCCGAGCUGAGAGGGUGAUCGGCCACACUGGAACUGAGACAAGGUCGAGACUCCGACGGGAGGCAGCGGUUGGGAAUCUUGCGCAAUGGGCGACAGCCUGACGCAGCAAGGCCGCGUGAGUGAUGAAGGUCUUCGGAUCGUAAAACUCUGUUAUCAGGGAAGAACAAGUGUGUAAGUAGCUCUGCACAUCUUGACGGUACCUGAUCAGAAAGCCACGGCUAACUACGUGCCAGCCGCCGCGGUAA